UACAAUUAAGAGAACAUUAAAAGGAGCUUGAGGAAGAGGGCUUAAGGAAUUUGCCAAGUAGGCAAGGUGGAACAUUUGUUAAGUGGUUUGAGUCACGUGUAAGUAAAUAAGAUAUUAUUUAUUAUUUCAUAAUAAAUUUUCACCUACUGUCUAUUUAUAUUUAUUCGUAUGAUGGUAGAUACAACGUGCGCACUGCGAAGGCAACGGAAGUGUGAGCAUUCAACUUCUUCAUUUGUCAUGUGGUCCAAAUAGAAUGAUGACUCGUUAUAGUGGCUACAUCGUUAAUGGCUUUAGAUUUCAUACAUAUA
RNAcentral lists this long non-coding RNA (308 nucleotides) under Ananas comosus (pineapple). RNAcentral's name for it is "long non-coding RNA (ACOM_LNC025885)". The record is from RNAcentral. Lineage: Eukaryota; Viridiplantae; Streptophyta; Magnoliopsida; Poales; Bromeliaceae.